UCACCAUCUUGGUUCCGACGGCAACGCGGUGCAGGCUCGAGUCGGAGCGCCCCUCGCUCGGCGGCGGCGCGCCGUGGAUUAAGCAGCGUGGACAGGCCGGCCUCCAGCGUCGCCGCGCUCGCGCCCGCGUGCAGGGCGGAGAGCGCUGAGCCGCAGGCGGGGCGGCGCGGGACAGCGAGGCCGCGACCCUGCCGGGCCCCGCCCAGCCCGCCGGGCCCGCCCCCGGCCGCUCUGUCGCCUGCCGGGCCGCGCAGAUGGGAUAGGCGGCGAAGAUGUUCAGCUUCGAAGGCGACUUCAAGACAAGGCCCAAGGUGUCUCUCGGUGGCGCGAGCAGGAAGGAAGAAAAGGCUUCUCUUUUACAUCGCACUCAGGAAGAAAGACGCAAGAGAGAGGAAGAAAGGCGAAGAUUGAAAAAUGCAGUGAUAAUCCAGUCAUUUAUUCGAGGAUAUAGAGACAGGAAACAACAAUACUUCACCCAAAGAAGCGCAUUUGACCAGUGUGCAGACUCUGCGCAGCCCGGUGGCACCUUCCGCAUUGCUGAUGGUCCCGCCCUUACCCUCUUGGUAAGGCAGCUUCUCUUCUUUUACAAACAGAGUGAAGACUCCAAACGUUUGAUAUGGCUUUAUCAGAACUUAAUUAAACACAGCUCUCUGUUUGUCAAGCAAUUGGAUGGAUCAGAAAGACUGACAUGCUUAUUUCUUCUCAUCCAAGUCCAGCAUCGUGCCUAGAGGCUCGGUAACCAGAAUUAGCAAUAUGCUUUUAAAUGUGGGAAAACUGAAUGACACUUUUAAGACAAUGACAAUUAUCAGACAAAAUGUAUAAUUUCUUAAUUUGAAUAAUAAAGUAUUUAAAUGCUAUUUGUAGUCCUGACACAUAGGAAGAAAUAGCAUUUAUCCUUGA
Molecule: long non-coding RNA, 900 nt
Filed under: Rattus norvegicus (Norway rat)
Lineage: Eukaryota; Metazoa; Chordata; Mammalia; Rodentia; Muridae
Description: long non-coding RNA NONRATT020102
Source: RNAcentral